Molecule: ribosomal RNA, 752 nt
Filed under: uncultured bacterium
Lineage: Bacteria
Description: bacterial SSU rRNA
Rfam family: Bacterial small subunit ribosomal RNA
Source: RNAcentral
AGAGUUUGAUCCUGGCUCAGAACGAACGCUGGCGGCAGGCCUAACACAUGCAAGUCGAACGUGAAGCCACCUUCGGGUGGUGGAAAGUGGCAGACGGGUGAGUAACGCGUGGGAACGUGUCUUUCGGUUCGGAAUAACCCAGGGAAACUUGGGCUAAUACCGGAUACGCCCUUCGGGGGAAAGAUUCAUCGCCGAAAGAUCGGCCCGCGUCGGAUUAGCUAGUUGGUAGGGUAAUGGCCUACCAAGGCGACGAUCCGUAGCUGGUCUGAGAGGAUGACCAGCCACACUGGGACUGAGACACGGCCCAGACUCCUACGGGAGGCAGCAGUGGGGAAUAUUGGACAAUGGGCGAAAGCCUGAUCCAGCCAUGCCGCGUGGGUGAAGAAGGCCCUAGGGUUGUAAACCCCUUUCAGCGGGGAAGAUAAUGACGGUACCCGCAGAAGAAGCCCCGGCUAACUCCGUGCCAGCAGCCGCGGUAAUACGGAGGGGGCUAGCGUUGUUCGGAAUUACUGGGCGUAAAGCGCGCGUAGGCGGAUCUGCAAGUCGGGGGUGAAAUCCCGAGGCUCAACCUCGGAACUGCCUUCGAUACUGCGGGUCUUGAGUCCGGGAGAGGUGAGUGGAAUUCCUAGUGUAGAGGUGAAAUUCGUAGAUAUUAGGAAGAACACCAGUGGCGAAGGCGGCUCACUGGCCCGGUACUGACGCUGAGGCGCGAAAGCGUGGGGAGCAAACAGGAUUAGAUACCCUAGUAGUCC